RNAcentral lists this ribosomal RNA (494 nucleotides) under uncultured bacterium. Its description in RNAcentral is "partial 16S ribosomal RNA". It matches the Rfam family "Bacterial small subunit ribosomal RNA", at positions 28 to 507 of the family's 1533-position model. The record is from RNAcentral.
GACGAACGCUGGCGGCGUGCCUAAUACAUGCAAGUAGAACGCUGAAGGAGGAGCUUGCUUCUCUGGAUGAGUUGCGAACGGGUGAGUAACGCGUAGGUAACCUGCCUGGUAGCGGGGGAUAACUAUUGGAAACGAUAGCUAAUACCGCAUAAUAGUAGAUGUUGCAUGACAUUUGCUUAAAGGUGCAAUUGCAUCACUACCAGAUGGACCUGCGUUGUAUUAGCUAGUUGGUGGGGUAACGGCUCACCAAGGCGACGAUACAUAGCCGACCUGAGAGGGUGAUCGGCCACACUGGGACUGAGACACGGCCCAGACUCCUACGGGAGGCAGCAGUAGGGAAUCUUCGGCAAUAGACGGAAGUCUGACCGAGCAACGCCGCGUGAGUGAAGAAGGUUUUCGGAUCGUAAAGCUCUGUUGUAAGAGAAGAACGAGUGUGAGAGUGGAAAGUUCGCACUGUGACGGUAUCUUACCAGAAAGGGACGGCUAACUACGUG